AUACGGAGGAUCCGAGCGUUAUCCGGAUUUAUUGGGUUUAAAGGGUGCGCAGGCGGCCAUUUAAGUCAGCGGUUAAAUCGUGGGGCUCAACCCCAUUCUGCCGUUGAUACUGGGUGGCUUGAUUGCGGUCGAGGUUGGCGGAAUUCGUUGUGUAGCGGUGAAAUGCAUAGAUAUGACGAAGAACACCGAUUGCGUAGGCAGCUGACCAGACCGCAAAUGACGCUCAUGCACGAAAGUGCGGGGAUCGAACAGGAUUAGAUACCCUGGUAGUCCGCACAGUAAACGAUGAAUACUUGUUUUCGGUGAUAUAAUGUCGGAGGCAAAGCGAAAGCGAUAAGUAUUCCACCUGGGGAGUACGCCGGCAACGGUGAAACUCAAAGGAAUUGACGGGG
RNAcentral lists this ribosomal RNA (392 nucleotides) under uncultured bacterium. Its description in RNAcentral is "partial 16S ribosomal RNA". It matches the Rfam family "Bacterial small subunit ribosomal RNA", at positions 523 to 918 of the family's 1533-position model. The record is from RNAcentral.